GUUUUCAACCGAAACUUUGACGGCUUAAUUCCUCCUCCCGGUUACAGCGAUUAUACGUUGAUCGUCCUUUACCGUAUCUCAUUGGGUCAAAGCUGUUCAUGGAACAAGAAGAUGUAGGUCUUGGAGAGCUGUCCAGUGAAGAAGGCUCUGUAGGCAGUGAUCGUGGCAGUAUUGUGGACAGUGAGGAAGAGAAAGAAGAAGAGCACACGACACAAAUGAGUGAUGAAGAAGAGGAUGAUGAUGGUUGUGACCUUUUUGCUGACUCCGAGAAGAAGGAGGAAGAUAUUGAGGACAUUGAAGAAAGUACUAGACCUAAAAGAAGCAGACGUACGUCAUUUGCUAAUGAGCUGGCUGCCCGCAUCAAGGGUGACGCCGUGGGCCGAGUGGACGAGGAGCCAACAACCUUAUCCUCAGGAGAAGCAAAACCUCGGAAGACACUGAAAGAGAAGAAGGAAAGGAGAACUUCAGACGGUGGGCCUUUUCCAUCAAUUCUAUUAAUUUAGGAGACUUUUGACUCAGAUGAAGAGGAUAACUUAUUCGCACCCCCUAAGCUGACCGAUGAGGACUUCUCACCAUUUGGCUCUCGAGGUGGCCUGUUUAGUGGGGGCAAGGGGCUCUUUGAUGAUGAGGAUGAGGAG
Molecule: long non-coding RNA, 638 nt
Filed under: Aotus nancymaae (Ma's night monkey)
Lineage: Eukaryota; Metazoa; Chordata; Mammalia; Primates; Aotidae
Description: lncRNA (ENSANAG00000039566.1)
Source: RNAcentral